Long non-coding RNA from Chrysemys picta bellii (western painted turtle), 3090 nucleotides. RefSeq lists it as uncharacterized. The record is from RefSeq and is a predicted model, not a curated record. Lineage: Eukaryota; Metazoa; Chordata; Testudines; Emydidae.
CCUUGGACACUAGAGACGGGUUGUGGAAUUGAGGCUAGAGACUCUCCCACCGUUGGAUGAGGUCUAGAAAUCAAAGUGGAAAUCUCAUGGGGCAAAGAAGGCUGUGAGGCAGAGAGAGGCCUCACUUCUCUUGUCAGGGUCUGAUCCUGGAAGGUACUUGUGGGAGUUCAAAGUGUCCAGCAUCUUGCAGGAGUCACAGAUUUUAAAGCGAGAAGGAACCACUGUGAUGAUCUAGUCUGAUCUCCAUCAUAACAAAGGCCAAAUAACUUCUGUAUUAAGCCCACAACCACUAGUUGAACUAGAGCAUAACUUUGAGAAACAAACCCAAUCUUGAUUUAAAGAUUUCAAGUGGCGGAGACUCUACCUCAUCACUUUGUCUUUCACUUGGACAUCUUAGACCUGAUUUUCUGAACAUCAGCAGAUUCCAGCGAUUUCAAUUCAAGUUGCAGAUGCUCAGCACCUUUGGAAAUCAAAUCCAUAGCAACCAGCUUGUGAGGUAAAAGACUAAGACCCGCUGAACAUCGAAGGAAUGGAGUCUUCAUUUUUCUGCAGAUGCAUGCAGUUUUGGGAAGAAUACUGGAUGAAGUCGAAGCUACGGACACUGGAGGUUCCCACCCGGACCAUGCGGCGGUGAGAAAGAACUUGAGAGGCGGUUGGUCUGCCCCACCCGCACUGAUGCACGGACCAACAGGCACUACUUUCAAAUGCUCCGGCUCCAGGUGCAUGGUGCUCACACGCGACCCACAGUGGAAUACAAUAGGGACCAUCACUCAAAGAAGAACUUAGGACUUUGCAGAGGUAUACAUAUAGUUAUUGACUCAGCACCACUGAAAUCAGUGGGACUUUUAGUAUUGAUUUUAGCGGGAAGAUGAUCAUGGCCGUAGUUAAUUGUAUCAACAUGCCACCUUUGAUGUUAACAUUUUUUGCCAUUUUCUGCCCAAUGCCCUUACAGAAAAUUAUUGUGAAUGUGGUGGCAAGCCAACUCCAGCAUCAUGCAUAGGAGCCAUUGCUUAAAACCAGUGAAUAAAAGUUAAUGCCCUUUGGUGAAUGAGGAGGGAGAUAGACUAGAUGCCAUAACAGGGCUUUUCUAUCUCCAGUUGUAUGGUCCUAUGAAAAAGUGUGGCACCAUUCUCUUUUCAAGAAGCAGUAAAGCCUAGCGGACACAGUGGCACCUAUCCAGUUAUUGUCACUUCAUUUCCUAUAUAAAUUACACUCAGAAUAUAAUUACUCAACUUGCAAUGUCACAUUAACAUUUGAUUAGAGAUUGAAAAUAAAGUCAAAUUAGCAACAUAACAGUGUGCAGUUGCCUUGAAGCAAUAAUUUGGUGACAAAGAGAUGAAUUAUGCUGAUACAAGAAAGAGAAAUGAGUCAAAUGGUUAGUUGGCACUUUAGAUGAAUGUGAACUGGCCCUGUUCAUCAUAUCAGACACUGCCCUAGCUUAGGGAUGGGCUAGAAUAGUAGUUUAAAAAAAAGAGACAUCCAACAAUUUGGUAGAUGGCAUGUCAAAAACAUGUGCACAUACUUCGUUUGAAGUAGGAGCCAAAGAUCGGAAACUGUAGAGGGCCCUAGAGGCAGAUUUUUGCUUUACAGAUAACUUUGGUACAGAGAUGAUUAAAUAAACUGGCUGCUAUUUAUUCUAAUGAUGGCUCUGCAUAUUAAAAUAAAGUACUACUGGUUGGAAGAUGCUACAUGGAUUUCCAAAUCUGCUAUGUAUUUGUGAGCUGAAGAACUUUGAAUAAAGUCCUGUUCAGUCUUUUGUUGUCUGCUACAGAAUCCAGAUUGCAGGAUUUAAUGAACAGUGUCCUUCCAGCUGAGGAAAGCUGACUACUGCUCCAAUUUCUCAGCAGGGAGCUGGUGUUUCAUCAUGCACUAGGUAUAUUACAUUGUUGUCUAAAUAGGCAAGCCACUAUUUAGGCCAUAUGGCAGCUUUCAUCAGCUGAAGGAGGAAAGAGAAUCACAGCAAUCUAAAUGUUUUGGACAGGCAAUCUAAUCUUUUCAUUUUUUUGUUAGGUGAAAUGGACAUGAUAUUAGCAUGCUGGUGUUAUUUCUUUUUUUAUAUUCUAAAUGCAUCAAGAAAUAAUUAAACUAUUACCAAUGGGGCUUUAAUGCUUAACAGAGGAAUUUUUCUGCUCCUCAACUUUAUGGCAAUUAUCUGCAAGCCAAGGAUUUUCCCUCCCUACUAGUAAAGGACUGGAUAAAGGAUUCAGUCAUCAACUUUCCUAAUACACCGUUCACAGAACUGGAAAUACAAUUUCACACUCCUGGGUCCAUUGUAAACUUUAUCCACUAUUAUUCUUCUAGUUCAGAAGUCAGUGGGAAUUAGAUUUUCACUUAGCUAUCUCCACAACAGAAAGGGAGAGACAACGUUUUAUACGAUAAGGUUUGGUUUCUUGAAUGUUGGGCUUCAGUAUUUCUGUCUCUCUUUUUUUUUUUUAUUCCCUGCAAACCUCGAGUAGGACCUACCUUAUAAUGUCAUCAAUUUCUCACUGGGGCAUUAACUGUAAAACCAUGAAAGAUUCUGUACUUUACUUUAGGUCUUUUUGAAUAGACUACAUACUAUAGUGUCAGCCAUGAGUAUCCAGAUUACAAUCUGAAUGUAGCUAAGGCAGUCUAAAUGAGUACUGGUUUCCAUUCUCUACAAAAGUAACUAUAUAUAUAUUUGGUCUUUUUCUGGUCAGUUGCACUUUCUGGUUCUCAUGUGUGAGUCUCGUAGUACGUUCAUUGUCUGAUUUUGCUUUGUUUUUUAAAGCCAAAAAUGUUACAUUUUGGUGCCAAGAGUUAGGAACUUAAAUGUAUAAUUAGGUGUCUAAGUAAGUGACCUGUAUUUUCGGAGAUGUGGAGCAACCAUAUUUGACUUUGCUUCCAUUGUUCACAGAUUUUUUUGUUGACGCCAUGCUCAAUACCUCUCAAAACCAGGUCACUUAUUUAGAUGUCUUAGGGUUAGCUUCAAUCUUAGGCAUGCUAGCUUGAAAAUUUUGUCUUUAGAUUGUAAACUCCUCAGGCAAUGACUUUGUUUUUCUGCAUUUUGUACAAGGCUGAGCACAAAUAUUAAAAUACUACUAAUAAAUAAUAUUAAUUAUAAAUAAAAUU